This 442-nucleotide ribosomal RNA is filed under the name uncultured bacterium. Its description in RNAcentral is "partial 16S ribosomal RNA". It matches the Rfam family "Bacterial small subunit ribosomal RNA", at positions 338 to 795 of the family's 1533-position model. The record is from RNAcentral.
CCUACGGGUGGCAGCAGUAGGGAAUCUUUCACAAUGGGCGAAAGCCUGAUGGAGCAACGCCGCGUGCAGGAUGAAGGCCUUCGGGUUGUAAACUGCUUUUAUAAGCGAGAAAUAUGAUGGUAACUUAUGAAUAAGGAUCGGCUAACUACGUGCCAGCAGCCGCGGUCAUACGUAAGAUCCGAGCAUUAUCCGGAGUGACUGGGUGUAAAGAGUUGCGUAGGUGGCAUAAUAAGUAGCUGGUGAAAUCUGGUGGCUCAACCAUUCAGACUAUUAGCUAAACUGUUAAGCUCGAGACCGUUAGGGGUAACUGGAAUUUCUAGUGUAGGAGUGAAAUCCGUAGAUAUUAGAAGGAACACCAAUAGCGUAGGCAGGUUGCUGGGACGGUUCUGACACUAAGGCACGAAAGCGUAGGGAGCAAACGGGAUUAGAUACCCGUGUAGUC